RNAcentral lists this ribosomal RNA (207 nucleotides) under uncultured bacterium. RNAcentral's name for it is "partial 16S ribosomal RNA". It matches the Rfam family "Bacterial small subunit ribosomal RNA", at positions 568 to 774 of the family's 1533-position model. The record is from RNAcentral.
CGUGUAGGCGGCUCGGUAAGUCCGCUGUGAAAGUCCAGGGCUCAACCCUGGAAUGCCGGUGGAAACUGUCGAGCUAGAGUCCGGAAGAGGCGAGUGGAAUUCCUGGUGUAGCGGUGAAAUGCGCAGAUAUCAGGAGGAACACCAAUGGCGAAGGCAGCUCGCUGGGACGGUACUGACGCUGAGACGCGAAAGCGUGGGGAGCAAACA